Molecule: long non-coding RNA, 221 nt
Filed under: Elaeis guineensis (African oil palm)
Lineage: Eukaryota; Viridiplantae; Streptophyta; Magnoliopsida; Arecales; Arecaceae
Description: long non-coding RNA (EGUI_LNC077656)
Source: RNAcentral
GGUAAGGAUAGGGUUGGGCCCAAUAAUUGUUCAGUAAGGGGCCUAAUGAUAGCAUUGCACCUGCUUGUGAACGGUGGGUCAGGAUUAACUAAGAAGUGUGGAUAAUAACUGUUAGGUGAGCCCACAUGACGUAGAGACUAAGUUGUUGCGAUAUGCUUAGAGAAAUAUCUAAGCAAAAAGUUACUGACGCAUUGGUGUACAUAUUAUCAAUAACUGUUAGG